AUGGAUUUGAAUCCACAAGUUCUAUGUUGGAACAUGAGGGGGCUAAAUAAUCCCGCCAAAAGAAAAGCAGUUAGAGAGUUUGUGGUCGUGGCUAAGGUUAAUCUUGUAUGCCUUCAAGAAACUAAGCUUGAAGCUUUUGAUCCUUAUUUGGUAAUGCAAUGCAUCGGGCCAUCGUUUGAUGGUUUCGCUUACUUGCCCACUUCCGAUACUAGAGGGGGCAUUCUUUUGGGUUGGGAUAGCUCGUUCUUGGAGAUCAAUAACAUCACUCGGGACACAAACUUCCUUUCGGGUCUGGUGCGCAACAAAGAUGGUUUUGAAUGGUGGUUAUCGGCUGUGUACGGACUGUUGGAAAUAUGCCCUAGAGGUAAUAAUAAAUUAGUUAUUAUUAUAUUUCCUUGUUCAUGA
Molecule: ribosomal RNA, 405 nt
Filed under: Triticum aestivum (bread wheat)
Lineage: Eukaryota; Viridiplantae; Streptophyta; Magnoliopsida; Poales; Poaceae
Description: partial small subunit ribosomal RNA
Source: RNAcentral